RNAcentral lists this unclassified non-coding RNA (398 nucleotides) under rhizosphere metagenome. RNAcentral's name for it is "partial ribosomal RNA internal transcribed spacer region". The record is from RNAcentral.
GUAGGUGAACCUGCGGAAGGAUCAUUAACACGUGAUACUUAAACACGUAUUAAAACCCACCGAGAAAUUGUUAUUCUAUCCUAUUGUCAGUUGCAGGUAAACGAAAUGAGGGAAUGCUAUGGAUCGCCAGUCGAAAGAUUGUACAUCCUAACUCAUUAGUUGUUCUUAGGUCCGCCCUGGAACUUGCACUGAUAAAUAGUUGAUUAGUUACGACUGCUUAUUAAGCUUGUAGCAUAGCUUGCAGAUCGUAAUGACCUUAUUAACCCAAUAUUUUACUAUUAUUUACUGAUUUGUAUGUUUAUAUGAAUUCCUUAACUUUAAUUAGUUUGGUUGAGUUUAUAUAGAUGUCGUAUAUUACUAAUACGAAACAACUCUUAGCAACGGAUAUCUUGGUUCUC